This 2058-nucleotide long non-coding RNA is filed under the name Homo sapiens (human). RNAcentral's name for it is "long independently transcribed non-coding RNA 2290, transcript variant 5 (LINC02290)". Lineage: Eukaryota; Metazoa; Chordata; Mammalia; Primates; Hominidae. The record is from RNAcentral.
ACAUGCCCACACCUGUGGCUUCUGAAGCAGAGCACCAGCAGUGACAGUCCCACCAGAACCGCAUGGAAUAGAAAACUGUGCAUUUCCCUAAGGAAAGGGAAUGCCAGAGAAGGGCAGAAGGGAAAUCAGGAAGACAAAACGUGUCUUCAUGUUGGAGUGGACCUUUCCUCUAUCUGUCAACAGAAUGGAUAAAUUGUGGAAGAGUAAUAUCAGAAUACUACACAUCAGUAAAAAACAACAAACUUCUGCUACAAACAAUCAACAUCGAUGAAUCUUUCAGGCAAAAGGGUUAAUGCCUACAAUAAGUGUUCUUGAAAUACAGUCACGCGUUGCUUAACCAUGGGGAUAUAUUCUGAUAAAUUCAUCAUUAGGCGAUUUCAUCACUGGGCGAACAUCACAGCUCGUACUCACACAAACCUAGAUGUCAUAGCCUACUACACACCUAGGCUAUAUGAUAUAGGCUAUUGCUAGCAACAAACCUGUACAGCAUGUUACUGUCUUGAAUACUUAGGCAGCAGAGCACAAUGUUAUAGAAACAGAUGAUCAGUGGCCCACGGAUUCCAGGUGAGGAUCUGGGACCCAGACAUCCAGAUAUUGAAAACACAGGGAUGGAGUCUGUAUGGAAAAAAUUAAAAUAUAGCAAAAUGUGAAAUACGGAAGAGAAAUCUUUCAAUUUCCCAAUGGAAGUGAGAAAAGAGCAAAGAAAAGUAUUGGUCUUCCAAAACAAAUAGAGGACGGAGCUGCUGCUGUUGCAUGGUGUCUAGAAACUCAGACAACUUCAUCAUUCCAUAUUUGCAUCCAAGAGAGAGAAAGAAAAACUACAAUCAUUUUCCAUUUACCCAUCAACCCAUCAACCUCCAAAGACAGGGUCUCACUAUGUUGCCCCAGUUGGCCUUGAACUGCUGGACUCAAGGGAUCCUCCUGCCUCAGCAUCCUGAGUAGCUGGGUCUACAGGCAUGAACCACCAGGCCCAGAACCCUGUCUUUUGAAAGCCAUAUGCGAUCUGUCUGCCCUGAAGUGACUACUUCAUCUCCAACCAGCCCUUGGCUGGCAAAGUCAGGAAGACUCCAGUCUUUCCUGAAGACCAGGGGAGAGUUUAUAACUCUAGCAUCAAAGUCAGCAGCUGUUCAUCUAGAAGACAACUUCCCAAAAGUCAAUGUCUUUGCCUGAAGCUUUUCUUCCCAGAUCUCCUAUGGUGAAACAACCAAAGGGAAGAAGAAUGUGGGCAGCCCUCAGUAAGACAGGAGAUGAGCAUCAACAUUGACCCAUUCUUUCUUCCAGUCCUCGAUGCUUACCUUGUACAUUCUUCUUUGUCUUCCGACUCAGUGCCUUUAGGGUAUGGACGUUGCCUGGUCCCACACAAGCCAAGCAUCAAAUGGAUGGCUCAACAAGGAGGCCAAGACCAGCUAAUGUUUAGUGAGCACCCAAAGGGGCCACACUGGAGAGAACAGCACAGCUCCGUCUGAGAAACAGCUGUUCCUUCCUGCCUGAGAGGCAGAGUGAUAGAAGAUAUCACAGAAUGUUGCUGCUUUGUCUUCCACCCUGAACCCUCCACGACCUCCCUGUAGCUUCCUGAUUUUAAGUAGACAUCAAAUGAUUCUUAAUCCUUUCUGGGUCUUGGAACGAUUUGAAAAUUGUCAACAGUACUGGGAUUCCCAGAAUAAUGCACAUAUGUACAUACUCAGAUAUUCCCCAAGCCCUGGAUAUAAUUUUAAGGGAGUUCACAGACCACACUCCCCCACCCAUCUGUGGACCCAGAUUCUGUGGGUUCGAGAUUCAGAAGCCCUGUUUCUAGGCAGGCCCUCUGUUGCUAACGCCCCUCGAGAACAUCACCCUAGAUGAUUAUCCCUUCUUCCUCCACUCCUUCCCACCUUCUCCAACUGCUGGGUUUCAGCACAAAGAUUGCUUGCCAGUUAAACUGGCACCAUGGACCGCACAGUAGUUGUUUCUUGGGUCUAGAGGAAACAGCCAGAUUCCUUUAAGUAAAUCAUGUCUUAGUUAUUGAUUGUCUCCACUUGAAGUUUUUGACAAUCUCUGAUUAAAUCAUAAACCACUGCA